RNAcentral lists this ribosomal RNA (400 nucleotides) under uncultured bacterium. Its description in RNAcentral is "bacterial SSU rRNA". It matches the Rfam family "Bacterial small subunit ribosomal RNA", at positions 355 to 772 of the family's 1533-position model. The record is from RNAcentral.
UGGGGAAUCUUGCGCAAUGGGCGAAAGCCUGACGCAGCCAUGCCGCGUGAAUGAUGAAGGUCUUAGGAUUGUAAAAUUCUUUUACCAGGGACGAUAAUGACGGUACCUGGAGAAAAAGCCCCGGCUAACUUCGUGCCAGCAGCCGCGGUAAUACGAAGGGGGCUAGCGUUGCUCGGAAUUACUGGGCGUAAAGGGAGCGUAGGCGGGUUGACAAGUUGGAGGUGAAAGCCCAGGGCUCAACCCUGGAAUUGCCUUCAAAACUGUCAGCCUUGAGUAUGGAAGAGGUAAGUGGAACUCCGAGUGUAGAGGUGAAAUUCGUAGAUAUUCGGAAGAACACCAGUGGCGAAGGCGACUUACUGGUCCAUGACUGACGCUGAGGCUCGAAAGCGUGGGGAGCAAA